Molecule: long non-coding RNA, 219 nt
Organism: Platichthys flesus (European flounder)
Lineage: Eukaryota; Metazoa; Chordata; Actinopteri; Pleuronectiformes; Pleuronectidae
Exons: 3
Source: RefSeq, a predicted model, not a curated record
AGUACCUGGAGCUUGAAAUACUUGGUAAAGGAAGCUUUGGCUCAGUUUAUGCCGGCCAUAGGAGGUCUGAUGAUUUACUAGUGGCGAUAAAACACAUCCCCUAAUCGUCUGUUCCGCCUCAAAGAGUGAUGUUAAAUGGGAGGCCACACAGUAUUCCCAAGGAGGUGCUGCUCAUGCAGAAAGCUGCAGGCGAACCAAUGACUGUGGGUUAAUGGACAG